CCUGGUGGCUCAGAUGGUAAAGCGUCUGCCUGCAAUGCGGGAGACCUGGGUUCGAUUCCUGGGUCAGGA
Transfer RNA from Ovis aries (sheep), 69 nucleotides. It matches the Rfam family "tRNA". Rfam says of the family: Transfer RNA (tRNA) molecules are approximately 80 nucleotides in length. NCBI's taxonomy places the organism in Eukaryota, Metazoa, Chordata, Mammalia, Artiodactyla, Bovidae. The record is from Rfam.